CGUAGGGUGCGAGCGUUAAUCGGAAUUACUGGGCGUAAAGCGUGCGCAGGCGGUUUGUUAAGAUAGGCGUGAAAUCCCCGGGCUCAACCUGGGAACUGCGCUUAUGACUGGCAAGCUAGAGUACGGCAGAGGGGGUGGAAUUCCACGUGUAGCAGUGAAAUGCGUAGAGAUGUGGAGGAACACCAAUGGCGAAGGCAGCCCCCUGGGUCGAUACUGACGCUCAUGCACGAAAGCGUGGGUAGCAAACAGGAUUAGAUACCCUGGUAGUCCACGCCCUAAACGAUGUCAACUAGGUGUUGGGAGGGUAAAACCUUUUAGUACCGGAGCUAACGCGUGGAGUUGACCGCCUGGGGAGUACGGCCGCAAGGUUA
Molecule: ribosomal RNA, 371 nt
Filed under: uncultured organism
Description: bacterial SSU rRNA
Rfam family: Bacterial small subunit ribosomal RNA
Source: RNAcentral